AAACGACUCUCGGCAACGGAUAUCUCGGCUCUCGCAUCGAUGAAGAACGUAGCGAAAUGCGAUACUUGGUGUGAAUUGCAGAAUCCCGUGAACCAUCGAGUCUUUGAACGCAAGUUGCGCCCGAAGCCAUUAGGCCGAGGGCACGUCUGCCUGGGCGUCUCGCAUCUCGUCGCCCCCCACACCGCGCCCCUUGGUGGGGCGCGGCGAUUGGGGGCGGACAUUGGCCCCCCGUGGGCGCAAGCUCGCGGCCGGCCUAAAAAAGGAGUCGCUGGCGACGGACGUCACGACGAGUGGUGGCUGACAUAACGUUUGCGUCCCGUUGUGCGUGUACCCGUCACCUAUGGCGGUCUCAUGUGACCCUAAAGCGCCACACGCGUUGGCUGCAUCGACCGCGACCCCAGGUCAGGCGGGACUACCCGCUGAGUUUAAGCAUAUCAAUAAGCGGAGGAAAAGAAACUUACUAGGAUUCCCUUAGUAACGGCGAGCGAACCGGGAAGAGCCCA
Molecule: ribosomal RNA, 503 nt
Filed under: Barringtonia fusicarpa
Lineage: Eukaryota; Viridiplantae; Streptophyta; Magnoliopsida; Ericales; Lecythidaceae
Description: eukaryotic LSU rRNA
Rfam family: 5.8S ribosomal RNA (bases 5-160)
Source: RNAcentral